GAGUUUGAUCAUGGCUCAGGACGAACGCCGGCGGCGUGCUUCAUACAUGCAAGUCGAACGGGGCUCAGCUGGUGGCAACACCAGGGAAAGCCUAGUGGCGAACGGGUGCGUAACACGUGAGCAACCUACCCCGGAGUCCGGAAUAACAGUGGGAAACCGCUGCUAAUACCGGAUGACCCCACCAUCUCGCAUGGGAGGGUGAGGAAAGGGUUCCCGCUUCGGGAGGGGCUCGCGACCUAUCAGCUUGUUGGUGAGGUGAUGGCUCACCAAGGCGACGACGGGUAGCUGGUCUGAGAGGACGAUCAGCCACACUGGGACUGAGACACGGCCCAGACUCCUACGGGAGGCAGCAGUAGGGAAUCUUGCGCAAUGGGCGAAAGCCUGACGCAGCAACGCCGCGUGGGGGAUGAAGGCCUUCGGGUUGUAAACUCCUUUCAGUGGGAACGAAACUGACGGUACCCACAGAAGAAGCCCCGGCCAACUACGUGCCAGCAGCCGCGGUGAUACGUAGGGGGCGAGCGUUGUCCGGAUUCAUUGGGGCGUAAAGAGCU
This 551-nucleotide ribosomal RNA is filed under the name uncultured Acidimicrobiaceae bacterium. Its description in RNAcentral is "bacterial SSU rRNA". It matches the Rfam family "Bacterial small subunit ribosomal RNA", at positions 9 to 569 of the family's 1533-position model. The record is from RNAcentral. Lineage: Bacteria; Bacillati; Actinomycetota; Acidimicrobiia; Acidimicrobiales; Acidimicrobiaceae.